CUUUUAUUAAAUACACAAAUAUAUGUGUCAAUACUUACACAUUAUUAUAUUAAUACGAAACACUGUAAAUUCAUAAUUUUUAUCGAUUCCACUCUGUUAAUGAUUACAAUACAGAAAGCUGUCCAGUCGACUCCACACUGUUAAUGAACACAAUACAGAAGGUUGUCCAGUCGACUCCACACUGUUAAUGAAUACAAUACAGAUGGUUGUCCAGUCGACUCCACACUGUUAAUGAAUACAAUACAGAAGGUUGUCCAGUCGACUCCACACUGUUAAUGAAUACAAUACAGAUGGUUGUCCAGUCGACGCCACACUCAUAAUGAAUACAAUACAGAUGGUUGUACAGUCGACUCCACACUGUUAAUGAAUACAAUACAGAUGGUUGUACAGUCGACUCCA
Molecule: long non-coding RNA, 399 nt
Organism: Esox lucius (northern pike)
Lineage: Eukaryota; Metazoa; Chordata; Actinopteri; Esociformes; Esocidae
Source: Ensembl